This is a long non-coding RNA of Nerophis ophidion (straightnose pipefish), 866 nucleotides long. RefSeq lists it as uncharacterized. Lineage: Eukaryota; Metazoa; Chordata; Actinopteri; Syngnathiformes; Syngnathidae. The transcript is spliced from 5 exons. The record is from RefSeq and is a predicted model, not a curated record.
AGUGGAAGCAUCCGUCGGUCGGGGCCGGCCGAAGGGAGGAGGCAAGAGAGUCCGCAGCUGCCUCUUUGACAGGUGCAGGAGGAACGACGCAAGCUCUCCACUCAUGUCUAUGGUCCUUUGGAUCAUCAGUGGAUGCCUGAAGAACAUGAACAAGGUCUUCUAGCAACAAAUCCACAGCCAACCCACUCUGAAAAUGUGCAUCACUGCUAAGUUCUGAAAAGCUCCAGGGAGCCACUAAGGUGCCGCAGGUUGCAGACCCCUGGUCUAGGUCCUUGUAUGACGUGGAAACAUCCGACGGUCCGGGGCGGCCAGUGGGAGGAGGCAAGAGAGUCCGCAGCUGCCUCUAUGACAAGUUCAGGAGGAACGACGCAAGCUCUAUGCUCAUGUCUACGGUUGAAUUGUUCUCGGUUGGUAGAGUUGGUAGACAGCGCACUCCAGACACAACCCCGCGCUCAUCAAGCAGACCACACCCACAGCCGGCCGCAGUCCACGCCUGACACACCUGUGUCUGAUGACGUGAGGCUGUAUAAAGGGACCAGUGGACCAAGGAUCGGCGCGGGAACUUAGUUCGCAAUUAACGUUCAGUAAGCGAUCACCCUGCUUUAUGCAAUCCUGCUCUCCCUGUGUUCUGUCUCUCGGUGUUCUCGCAGAACCCUCCGUCGCCUGCAAAGUGAGCAGUGCGUCUCACUCUUCCUCGGAUCUCCUCCUUCCUCUGAUUUCCUCCGUCGUCCCUAGACUCCUCGCUCGCCCCUGGACUCUGACGCCUUUCUAUCGCCCCCUGAUCCUGCCGGCCCAUGGACUUCCUCGCUCCUUCGUUCUCGCCAAAACUUAUGGUAAAACGCUCCAAUUAAAUACUUCACAUAGUC